Hydractinia symbiolongicarpus is the source of this 120-nucleotide small nuclear RNA. RefSeq annotates it as U5 spliceosomal RNA. The record is from RefSeq and is a predicted model, not a curated record. The transcript has a single exon. NCBI's taxonomy places the organism in Eukaryota, Metazoa, Cnidaria, Hydrozoa, Anthoathecata, Hydractiniidae.
CUACUCUGGGCUUUCUUCAUACACGCACAAAUCUUUCGCCUUUUACUAAAGAUUUCCGUGGAGAAGGUCGUUGUGAUGAGUAUGUAGUCGAUUUUUCAACAGUCCUGCUUUGGCGGGACG